UGUUUCGGCUAGGGGGCCAUCCCGGCUUACCAACCCGAUGCAAACUGCGAAUACCGGAGAAUGUUAUCACGGGAGACACACGGCGGGUGCUAACGUCCGUCGUGAAGAGGGAAACAACCCAGACCGCCAGCUAAGGUCCCAAAGUCAUGGUUAAGUGGGAAACGAUGUGGGAAGGCCCAGACAGCCAGGAUGUUGGCUUAGAAGCAGCCAUCAUUUAAAGAAAGCGUAAUAGCUCACUGGUCGAGUCGGCCUGCGCGGAAGAUGUAACGGGGCUAAACCAUGCACCGAAGCUGCGGCAGCGACACUGUGUGUUGUUGGGUAGGGGAGCGUUCUGUAAGCCUGUGAAGGUGUGUCGUGAGGCAUGCUGGAGGUAUCAGAAGUGCGAAUGCUGACAUAAGUAACGAUAAAGCGGGUGAAAAGCCCGCUCGCCGGAAGACCAAGGGUUCCUGUCCAACGUUAAUCGGGGCAGGGUGAGUCGACCCCUAAGGCGAGGCCGAAAGGCGUAGUCGAUGGGAAACGGGUUAAUAUUCCCGUACUUGGUGUUACUGCGAAGGGGGGACGGAGAAGGCUAUGUUGGCCGGG
This 582-nucleotide ribosomal RNA is filed under the name Salmonella enterica. RNAcentral describes it as "partial 23S ribosomal RNA". It matches the Rfam family "Bacterial large subunit ribosomal RNA", at positions 911 to 1495 of the family's 2925-position model. Lineage: Bacteria; Pseudomonadati; Pseudomonadota; Gammaproteobacteria; Enterobacterales; Enterobacteriaceae. The record is from RNAcentral. RNAcentral also lists the same sequence under 1 other name.